UACGGAAGGCAGCAGUGGGGAAUAUUGCACAAUGGGCGCAAGCCUGAUGCAGCCAUGCCGCGUGUAUGAAGAAGGCCUUCGGGUUGUAAAGUACUUUCAGUCGUGAGGAAGGUGUUAAGGUUAAUAACCUUAGCAAUUGACGUUAGCGACAGAAGAAGCACCGGCUAACUCCGUGCCAGCAGCCGCGGUAAUACGGAGGGUGCGAGCGUUAAUCGGAAUUACUGGGCUAAAGGGCACGCAGGCGGUUAAUUAAGUUGGAUGUGAAUCCCCGGGCUUAACCUGGGAAUGGCAUUCAAGACUGGUUAGCUAGAGUCUUGUAGAGGGGGUUAGAAUUCCAUGUGUAGCGGUGAAAUGCGUAGAGAUGUGGAGGAAUACCGGUGGCGAAGGCGGCCCCUGGACAAAGGACUGACGCUCAUGUGCGAAAGCUGGGGAGCAAACAGGGAUUAGAUACC
This 452-nucleotide ribosomal RNA is filed under the name uncultured bacterium. Its description in RNAcentral is "bacterial SSU rRNA". It matches the Rfam family "Bacterial small subunit ribosomal RNA", at positions 340 to 786 of the family's 1533-position model. The record is from RNAcentral.